UAAUGCUGAUUUAAAAAAUACAAUAAAAAUACAAUUAUUAGUUUAGUUGAUUUCUUUUAAUUGCUUAGUAUAAAACAGGAACAACUUAAAGCAUUUAUGUUUUCUUGUUUAAGUUUUAAACUGAUUUUUUUUUUUUUUUAUUUAACAUUUAAACACCCAAAAAUACCUAUCCAAGCUAAUUUUUUUAUUUUAUUUUUUUAUGGAGCACAAAAGGAGAUGCACGAGGGAUGAUGGUUGCAACUGUCAAGCAUCCAAAAGCACGUAACAGUAUAAUUAAUAUAGUCCAUAUGACUCAUGUGCUACAGUCUGAAUACCCAAAUCUACAUACUGUCAAAGAGUGUCAAGACCAUACCAAGCAAAGAAAAUCCAACCCUGAGGAGGGCAGGUGGACGGAAGGAGGGCAAAAAAUGUUCCCUUGAAUGAACACUCGUGGUGAAGGGGUCAGCGUGCCAGGGCUUAAAAAACAAAUGACAGGAAAUGACAGACUUUAAGGAAAAACCUCAGUGAGACCUGAUGCUAAUCGGAACAAGACUGUGGAUGUGGCAGCCCUGCUAUCACCUAUCUUCCAGCACUAUAGGCAACUCAUAUUGAGGGAACACUUUACAUUCUUGUCAUUUUGAACAAACAACACCUUCAAACACCAGAUAGGACACCAUUGUCAGCUCUGUCUGAUCUGGUCUGUCCAUCAAUCUGUGGUGUGUGUGUGUGUGUGUGUGUGUGUGUGUGUGUGUGUGUGUGUGUGUGUGUGUGUGUGUGUGUGUGUGUGUGUGUGAAGAGGGAAUUAGGGGAAGGAAACUGGCAAGGUUGAAUAAUAAGAAAAGCAUAGAUGCUAGACGUGCCCACCUGUUCAUUAACUAAUUAAUCACAAGACUUAUGGUGCUAUCCUGAUUGUAAGAAAGGAUGAUGCUACUUUUUUUUAAAUCCAAAACCAACUAUGAAGGUCAUUUUUGCUGCAUCAAUACCAAUACUAAUACAUUGAUUAAACAGUUGUAAUCGCUAAUUAGUAUUAUAUUUGUAACUGAAAAUUCAAUAUUUAAACAAUUAUAAGAUUUUCUGAUUUUGUUUAUCAUACAGUAUAUUUAUUUAUUAUUUUUAUUUUUUUAUUUUUAUUUUAGUUUAUAGUUUUUAUUUUAAUGUAUUUUAAAGAAGUCUUAUGCUUACCAGUGCAGCAUGUAUUUGAUCAAAAAUACAGUAAAAACAGUAAUAUUGUGAUAUUUCAAAACUCUUUUUUUGUUUCAGUGUUUUAAAAUGUAAUUCAUUCCUGUGAUGGCAAAGCUGAAUUUUCAGCAGCUAUUUUUGUAGUCAUUAGUGUCAUAUGAUCCUUCAGAAAUCAUUCUAAUAUCAUCCAUCUAAAUCAUGCUGAUAUAUAACUCUAGUAAAAUCCUGAAAUGUGUUUUUGGUGUUUCUUGAUGUAAGAUGAAAUGUUAAAUAUCACCACUGCUUAAAUUACAUUGAUAGUUAUUAAUGAUCUAAAGACUGAUUAGCAAUUAGCCACAUACAUCUGUAACUAUAUGUCCACUUCAGUGUGAAAAGCUCUCAUCAUUUGCAUGCAGCACUUAUUUUGGGGCAUUGGUGGUUUAGGAUUGGUCCCUACUUCCAACAUGCAGCAUAACAUGAAAGUGUGUGUGGGUGGCCCAAGUGCCUCUACUAAUUCAAUCAUCCCCUCCUCUCAGCUUGCUUUUUUAUUCCAAUUUGAUUAGCAGAGCUAAAGCCAUCACGAUUUUGCCCAGACAAAAUGAAUGCUUGUAUUAAUCCUGCAAUUUCCAUUUAAAAUGCAGAGCAUUGACUUGAUUAAUAAGGGGGCCGAUACUGAAUAAUUACGCUGCGAACAUCAGCUAUGGAUGAGAGCACAGCUGGGGUUGCUUACAGAUGCCCUAUGGGAUCUCAGAGGGGUCAAACCAAAGCAUUGGCCAUGACUGAGGUGAUGAAUCCGUUAGCCAAUCUUUUCGACAAUUAACAAGCUGCGGCCCCUGUAUUAAUUUGCUGCCCCUGUAGUGGAGCCUGGUAAGAUGUGUCAGGGUCAAGGGUUAAAGGUCGAGAGCACAGGUCAAACUCACUGAUUUGGCCUGGAAAAAUCAAGAGAGGAAAAUAAGCACAUUACAUCGAAAUGCAUUACCCAACCUAGAGCUUCCAGUAUCAGAUGGUUUGCAAAUUAGCAUUCGUAUAUGAAUGGGCGAGCUGAGGAACAUGAAAAGGAACAUGUGGAAAACGUUUAGUUAGUGGUGAUCAAUCUAGGUGCACUGUGUUUGAGCAUUCAAUAAAGUGCAAUCGAUGGGUGCGAGGACAAACAAAGCAGGUGUUAUUAGCAGAGGGUUUAUAGGUUAACAUUUAUUCGGAAAAUAUAUUGUAAUGCUCGAUCUGCCAAAUGUAAUAUUAAACCACACAAUCCAUCGCCAUCCAUUACAAGUGUCACACUGAUCCUCCACCCAUCAACGUUUUGCUUUAUCAAGGUGCACUUCGUUCCAUCUUGCCUGCUUUAUCGAAUGCUUCCUGUCUUGUAGACGGGCUGCUCUUUUUGCAUGCCAAAUGUGUCCGCCUUGUGGGUUUGCUGCACUGAACCCUUCUGGGAACCCCUUGUCGUACACUGUGGCCCAUGUGAUUGUGAUGAUUACAAUGUACACACUGGUGUAAUGUCACCAUUCUUGCUCCACUUUAUGCCCAAGGUUCAAGUAGAGUUCAAAUCCCUCCACACUUUGUGGUAAUCACCUCGCCAGAGUCAAAAUUCUAGCUCAUGAGCCAUUUUUCAGUAAUGCCACCGUGAUCGUCAGCGUUAUUGACCUCAACCAGGCUUUUUCCUCACAUCAGAGCCCAAGUUUCAAAGAUGCGGGCUUUUCUCAAGGUUAAUUCUGGACAAAACAGUGCAGAGAGUUGUCAAAACGAACAUUAUUUGAAGGUAGCUAGGCUUGCCGCUUGGGAAUAAGUUGACUUUUAUGUCAGAACGAAAGCAUUCCCACAUGUUUGAAAAUAUGCUUAAUGCUCCUGGGAUCGUGUUUCGUGGCAGCCUCCUAAAACCUGCUGCAUCGCUCAUUGUUAAAUGCUGUCUGUGGGGGAAAUUAGCCCUGACACUGUUUUUAUUAUGAAAACACAGUUUAGAUGGGCCCAACCUCCCAACUUUCAGCUUUUAUAUAGCACUCCUCUGUAAAACUAUCCCAGUAUCUCUGUGCCCCCCUUUCCCUCUCUCACUCUCCCUCACUUUCUUUCCCUGUGAGUGGCUCUUGCCAAAUAGGGGCACAUAUGUUUCUCUGUAAUUAAAGCUCUUGUUAUACAGUGCUGCUCCCUUCAAGUAGAAAUGAUUAACUAAUGGAGCGAUUGAGGGGAAAUUAAUAGUUAUCUCUUCCUGUCAUUCCCCCUCCCUUGUUUUCUGUCUAACCCUCCCUCUGUUGAGACACCAGAGCACUUUUGUUCAGAGAAAUCGAUAAGCAAAGGUGACAAUAUCCAUGUUGUACUGUACACAGGUGUGAAAGCAUGAAAUUAAAUACACAGGGUUCCCAAGAAGUAGUUGGACACAUAAGCAACACUAAAGCCAAUGUAUGAAUGUCACUGCUUCUGACAAAGUGGCAUUUGCAGGCAAAUGCGGCACGCUAGAGCUUUUCUCAGAACUAACUUAUUAACUAUUAUUUUUAAUCAACAGGUCCCAAGGUCAUUCUGUAGUGGAUCAUUGAAACAGUUUCUUGACAUAGGUGCCCUGGCAGAGUAACCACAGGUGUAGUUACAUGACAUUAUAUGAAAAUGAGUACCUUAUGUUUGAUAAUAUGAAAGACACCAUAGUGACCUUUUUUAA
Molecule: long non-coding RNA, 3781 nt
Organism: Cyprinus carpio carpio
Lineage: Eukaryota; Metazoa; Chordata; Actinopteri; Cypriniformes; Cyprinidae
Source: Ensembl